Molecule: long non-coding RNA, 933 nt
Organism: Dreissena polymorpha
Lineage: Eukaryota; Metazoa; Mollusca; Bivalvia; Myida; Dreissenidae
Exons: 3
Source: RefSeq, a predicted model, not a curated record
UUUGUCUUAUCUUUUACUUAAAAACAAGUUAUACUAAAUGACAUUUAAUAAUAUUUGCAUGUAUAUUAAUUCGCAGCAAACGCACAACUAAAGAAGUCGUGAUUGAGAGACUGUGAGAGGUAUUCCAUUCCCUUAAUCGUUACCAAUACCAAUCUGGAAAAGAAUCACGGUUCAAUAUUCUGUAACUCAUUAAAGAAAGAGAACAAAUCUUGUUGUUGCUGAUAAACCCACGAGUUACAUAUUUUCUUCCAAGAUGCAUAGAAGAUAGUGACUGAUACGUUGUGUUUAUUUUGUUUACAAUCAGCCUCGGCGACUGAGGACAUGAUGGACAUCUCACAGUCAUCAAAGUCAUCAGAUCCUUCUGUUUUUGGAACAGACCCUACUAGUUCGUUAAGUGGGAACAGAACUCCUCUCAAGAGGAAACGACUAAAAAACUAAACCCAAUCAUCUUACAGACAAAAGGGGCCCUUGUCGAAACAACAAAUAGUUGGUACCUGUAGAUAUGAACGGGUUAGAAGAAGUUUUGGGCAAAAAUACAUUUGUUUGAAUAUAAUUUCUUUGUUUGUGUUUUUACACUUUUUCAUCGAUGAAUUCCGAUGGGGACUGUUGUCGACAUAGCUGAGAGCAGGCAAAGGUAGGUGUGAACGACUUCUUUUAUGUGUGUAACGAUAGGUGUUAAAGUGUGUCUUUUUGUACUUCGUACUGAUAGCCAGCUUUUAUUGAGUAAUUUGUGCCACGACUUGUUGAGAUGAUAAUUUACAUUUGCGACACUGAUUUAUACUUGAGAACAUGAAAAUAAGCAACUGCAUUUUGUGUGUAUGAAUAUUGAACAUUCAACAGUGGUGUUUUAUACAUUUUGUUUGCAAUCGUCUGAAGGACGCAUCGACGCAUCAGAUAUUGACGGGACGGUAGACCACUCUAGACGACGGCAAA